This 592-nucleotide ribosomal RNA is filed under the name uncultured bacterium. RNAcentral describes it as "bacterial SSU rRNA". It matches the Rfam family "Bacterial small subunit ribosomal RNA", at positions 1 to 591 of the family's 1533-position model. The record is from RNAcentral.
GCCCUUAGAGUUUGAUCCUGGCUCAGAUUGAACGCUGGCGGCAUGCCUUACACAUGCAAGUCGAACGGUAACAGGUCUUCGGAUGCUGACGAGUGGCGAACGGGUGAGUAAUACAUCGGAACGUGCCCGAUCGUGGGGGAUAACGAGGCGAAAGCUUUGCUAAUACCGCAUACGAUCUACGGAUGAAAGCGGGGGAUCUUCGGACCUCGCGCGGACGGAGCGGCCGAUGGCAGAUUAGGUAGUUGGUGGGAUAAAAGCUUACCAAGCCGACGAUCUGUAGCUGGUCUGAGAGGAUGAUCAGCCACACUGGGACUGAGACACGGCCCAGACUCCUACGGGAGGCAGCAGUGGGGAAUUUUGGACAAUGGGCGAAAGCCUGAUCCAGCCAUGCCGCGUGCAGGAUGAAGGCCUUCGGGUUGUAAACUGCUUUUGUACGGAACGAAAAGCCUCUUUCUAAUAAAGAGGGGUCAUGACGGUACCGUAAGAAUAAGCACCGGCUAACUACGUGCCAGCAGCCGCGGUAAUACGUAGGGUGCAAGCGUUAAUCGGAAUUACUGGGCGUAAAGCGUGCGCAGGCGGUUUUGUAAGACAG